RNAcentral lists this ribosomal RNA (774 nucleotides) under uncultured Neocallimastigales. RNAcentral describes it as "partial large subunit ribosomal RNA". It matches the Rfam family "Eukaryotic large subunit ribosomal RNA", at positions 24 to 644 of the family's 3401-position model. The record is from RNAcentral. Lineage: Eukaryota; Fungi; Neocallimastigomycota; Neocallimastigomycetes; Neocallimastigales.
UAUGUGAUCGUCUCUCGCAUAUCAAUAAGCGGAGGAAAAGAAACUAACAAGGAUUCCCCUAGUAACGGCGAGUGAAGCGGGAAGGGCUCAAAUUUGAAAUCUUAAAGGGUUUCCCUUUACGAAUUGUAGUUUAAAGAAGUGUUUUCUGUUGAGGUUUUGGUAAAAGUUCUUUGGAAUAGGACAUCAUAGAGGGUGAGAAUCCCGUAUUUGACCUUUACUUUCAACUUUGUGAUACACUUUCAAAGAGUCGGAUUGUUUGGGAAUGCAGUCCAAAAUGGGUGGUAAAUUUCAUCUAAAGCUAAAUAUUGGCGAGAGACCGAUAGCGAACAAGUACCGUGAGGGAAAGAUGAAAAGAACUUUGAAAAGAGAGUUAAACAGUGCGUGAAAUUGUCAGAAGGGAAGCGUUUGACACCAGUGUUGUUUUUCUGAAAAUCAAUCAAAGAACUGUUUAUGCUAAGUUGUUUAGACUUUAUCAGCUAACUGUUUAGUUUUGAGCUUUUCUUUAAUGCACUUUUCAGUUAACAAGUCAACAUCAAUUUCUUUUGCUGUAAAAAAGCUUGAGGAAGGUGGCUUGAGAUUCGUCUUAAGUGUUUAUAGCCUCUUGCCUAUGCAGUCGGAGAGAUUGAGGUCUGCAGCGUAGAUCCUUCGGGGCUAAAUGCAUUUGUGCUAAGUUAUAGCAUUUUAUAGACAACUUGUUGACUAUGAUUUGUCUUGUAGCUUACUCGCUUAUGUUAUUUUACCUACGCUUAGGAUGUUGACUGAUAUGUAGUCGUA